RNAcentral lists this ribosomal RNA (481 nucleotides) under uncultured bacterium. Its description in RNAcentral is "partial 16S ribosomal RNA". It matches the Rfam family "Bacterial small subunit ribosomal RNA", at positions 28 to 523 of the family's 1533-position model. The record is from RNAcentral.
GACGAACGCUGGCGGCGUGCUUAACACAUGCAAGUCGAGCGGAAAGGCCACUUCGGUGGUACUCGAGCGGCGAACGGGUGAGUAACACGUGAGUAAUCUGCCCCUGGCUUUGGGAUAGCCACCGGAAACGGUGAUUAAUACCGGAUACGACCACUUCUCGCAUGGGAUGGUGGUGGAAAGUUUUUUCGGCCAGGGAUGUGCUCGCGGCCUAUCAGCUUGAUGGUGAGGUAAUGGCUCCGCAUGGCUUCGACGGGUAGCCGGCCUGGGAGGGUGACCGGUCACACUGGGACUGAGACACGGCCCAGACUCCUACGGGAGGCAGCAGUGGGGAAUAUUGGACAAUGGGCGGAAGCCUGAUCCAGCAACGCCGCGUGAGGGAUGACGGCCUUCGGGUUGUAAACCUCUUUCAGCAGGGACGAAGCGCAAGUGACGGUACCUGCAGAAGAAGCACCGGCCAACUACGUGCCAGCAGCCGCCGCAG